GAUGAACGCUGGCGGCGUGCCUAAUACAUGCAAGUCGAGCGAACGGACGAGAAGCUUGCUUCUCUGAUGUUAGCGGCGGACGGGUGAGUAACACGUGGAUAACCUACCUAUAAGACUGGGAUAACUUCGGGAAACCGGAGCUAAUACCGGAUAAUAUUUUGAACCGCAUGGUUCAAAAGUGAAAGACGGUCUUGCUGUCACUUAUAGAUGGAUCCGCGCUGCAUUAGCUAGUUGGUAAGGUAACGGCUUACCAAGGCAACGAUGCAUAGCCGACCUGAGAGGGUGAUCGCCCACACUGGAGCUGAGACGCGGUCCAGACGCCUACGAGAGGCAGCAGUAGGGAAUCUUCCGCAAUGGGCGAAAGCCUGACGGAGCAACGCCGCGUGAGUGAUAAAGGUCUUCGGAUCGUGAAACUCUGUUAUUAGGGAAGAACAUAUGUGUAAGUAACUGUGCACAUCUUGACGGUACCUAAUCAGAAAGCCACGGCUAACUACGUG
This 497-nucleotide ribosomal RNA is filed under the name uncultured bacterium. Its description in RNAcentral is "partial 16S ribosomal RNA". It matches the Rfam family "Bacterial small subunit ribosomal RNA", at positions 28 to 507 of the family's 1533-position model. The record is from RNAcentral.